RNAcentral lists this small nuclear RNA (106 nucleotides) under Peromyscus maniculatus bairdii (prairie deer mouse). The record is from RNAcentral. Lineage: Eukaryota; Metazoa; Chordata; Mammalia; Rodentia; Cricetidae.
UGAGCUUGCUCAGGCUGUACAGGAGCUAGAUUGGAAUGAUACAGGAACAUGAGCAUGGUUCCUGUGCAAGGACGACAUACAAAGGAGUGAAAUAUUCUACAUUAAA